Molecule: transfer RNA, 72 nt
Filed under: Crassvirales sp.
Lineage: Duplodnaviria; Heunggongvirae; Uroviricota; Caudoviricetes; Crassvirales
Description: tRNA-Arg
Rfam family: tRNA
About the family: Transfer RNA (tRNA) molecules are approximately 80 nucleotides in length. Their secondary structure includes four short double-helical elements and three loops (D, anti-codon, and T loops). Further hydrogen bonds mediate the characteristic L-shaped molecular structure. tRNAs have two regions of fundamental functional importance: the anti-codon, which is responsible for specific mRNA codon recognition, and the 3' end, to which the tRNAs corresponding amino acid is attached (by aminoacyl-tRNA synthetases). tRNAs cope with the degeneracy of the genetic code in two manners: having more than one tRNA (with a specific anti-codon) for a particular amino acid; and 'wobble' base-pairing, i.e. permitting non-standard base-pairing at the 3rd anti-codon position.
Source: RNAcentral
CUCUCCAUAGUUAAAGGGAUAUAACCUAGGAUUUCUAAUCCUAUAUUGAAAGUUCGAAUCUUUCUGGGGAGA